UCCCUCCCCAGGAUUGAAUGGAAGCUCUGUACUGUACCGACUUCUGGAUUUGCCCUGGAUUGAGUUUAGGGAAUGUCUGGAAAGGAAAAAGGGAGAGAAAAGGGGGGAGGGAGGGGGCCAGCUCGAGCCUUGUCCAAGUCAGCGAGAAGGCUGCGCUGGGCAGGAAAGCGCCUAUGGGAGAAUCAGCUAGGAUGCAGACCGGCUAUGGAAAUCUCAGUUCUAGGAACCGUGUCCUUUCGCCGGAGACCUCUCUGAGCACAGGAACUAUGGUGAGAUUGUCCCUUGGCCUCCUGCUUCCAGUGGAUUUGGGAAUUAACUGAUAUUUGUCAACCACCUGCUGAGAGGCAGGGAGGUAGCACAAAGGGCUUGUGCACAUGCUUUGCCUGUGAGAGGCUCAGGUGCAAUCCCUGCGACCACGUGAUCGACUGAGAUACCCAGGGAGUGACCCCACACACUGACCUGUUUAGGAUGGCUGCAAACCCCAUCAUUGGAUGGGCUACUAAAACAGAUGCUGAAUCUAUUAUCGAUACACAAAGAAAAUGAUCAGGGAGAAACAGAAGUGAGUCUCAGUUUGUAAUAUUCACAAAAAAAAAACUAUGGAGUUAAUUUUCAAUUUGCACAUGUUAUUGCUCUGGGACCAAGGUAUAUCCAACACAACCAGAUAUAACAAUUAUACUGCAGUUUAUUAAAACUACUUCAUAGAAACUUUAUUGUAUAGGUGAGGGAAAUGAAUAACUGACUAAAUAUAUUUUCUUCAAAAGCAUCAUGCCAAUACAGAUACUUAAGGCACAGAGUUCUUAUAAUUCAUUGAUCUUAUGUUUGCCUAUGCCACGUUUUUCAGGAGGAAAUUCAAAGUUGCCAAGAAAUGCACCUUCUUAGGUGUAUAAGUUCAGCAUGAAUCAAAAAUUCAGCUUUCCUAGGUAGUGCCUCUCUGAUACAUCCAUGCUCCGAUCCAUCUGUCAGAGGGACUUUAUGAUUCUCCAUAAGAUGUUACCCAGUGGGGCCAGAGUCAUGGUAAAGGGAGUAGGACAUUUGUCUUGCCUGUGGCUGACCUGGGUUCGAUCCCUUAUGGUCCACUAAGCACAGUGAGGAGUAAUUCCUGAGCGCAGAACCAGGAGUAACCCCUGAGCAUCACUGGGUGAUGCAUAUGCUUCAGCCUAGAGAGUUAGC
Long non-coding RNA from Sorex araneus (European shrew), 1170 nucleotides. RefSeq lists it as uncharacterized. The transcript has 4 exons. The record is from RefSeq and is a predicted model, not a curated record. Lineage: Eukaryota; Metazoa; Chordata; Mammalia; Eulipotyphla; Soricidae.